UACGAAGGGUGCAAGCGUUAAUCGGAAUUACUGGGCGUAAAGCGUGCGUAGGUGGUUGGUUAAGUCUGUCGUGAAAGCCCUGGGCUCAACCUGGGAAUGGCGAUGGAUACUGGCCAGCUAGAGUGUGAUAGAGGAUGGCGGAAUUCCCGGUGUAGCGGUGAAUUGCGUAGAGAUCGGGAGGAACAUCCGUGGCGAAGGCGGCCAUCUGGAUCAACACUGACGCUGAGGCACGAAAGCGUGGGGAGCGAACAGG
RNAcentral lists this ribosomal RNA (253 nucleotides) under uncultured bacterium. RNAcentral's name for it is "partial 16S ribosomal RNA". It matches the Rfam family "Bacterial small subunit ribosomal RNA", at positions 524 to 776 of the family's 1533-position model. The record is from RNAcentral.